UUUCCGUAGGUGAACCUGCGGAAGGAUCAUAG
RNAcentral lists this ribosomal RNA (32 nucleotides) under Tulasnella calospora. RNAcentral describes it as "partial 18S ribosomal RNA". The record is from RNAcentral. RNAcentral also lists the same sequence under 7 other names. Lineage: Eukaryota; Fungi; Basidiomycota; Agaricomycetes; Cantharellales; Tulasnellaceae.